Molecule: non-coding RNA, 21 nt
Filed under: Caenorhabditis elegans
Lineage: Eukaryota; Metazoa; Nematoda; Chromadorea; Rhabditida; Rhabditidae
Source: RNAcentral
UGGGUGUUGGUCAUUGUUUUC